UCCGUCGUAGUCUAGGUUAGGAUACUCGGCUCUCACCCGAGAGACCCGGGUUCAAGUCCCGGCGACGGAA
Molecule: transfer RNA, 70 nt
Filed under: Triticum aestivum (bread wheat)
Lineage: Eukaryota; Viridiplantae; Streptophyta; Magnoliopsida; Poales; Poaceae
Rfam family: tRNA
About the family: Transfer RNA (tRNA) molecules are approximately 80 nucleotides in length. Their secondary structure includes four short double-helical elements and three loops (D, anti-codon, and T loops). Further hydrogen bonds mediate the characteristic L-shaped molecular structure. tRNAs have two regions of fundamental functional importance: the anti-codon, which is responsible for specific mRNA codon recognition, and the 3' end, to which the tRNAs corresponding amino acid is attached (by aminoacyl-tRNA synthetases). tRNAs cope with the degeneracy of the genetic code in two manners: having more than one tRNA (with a specific anti-codon) for a particular amino acid; and 'wobble' base-pairing, i.e. permitting non-standard base-pairing at the 3rd anti-codon position.
Source: Rfam by way of RNAcentral